RNAcentral lists this long non-coding RNA (457 nucleotides) under Setaria viridis. Its description in RNAcentral is "long non-coding RNA (SVIR_LNC000838)". Lineage: Eukaryota; Viridiplantae; Streptophyta; Magnoliopsida; Poales; Poaceae. The record is from RNAcentral.
UAUUUGAAGUUUCUAGCAAGAUUUUUCUAUGUCAUACCUGGUGAACAUUUAAUAACUGGAACCUUCAAUCAAGACAAUAUUUGGAGUUUUAUUCGCUCAAUCAUUUUUCUAUUCCUCUGUUUUUCAUAAACCAAUGACAUGAGCCAUCCUAAUUUUUAUUUGAUUUUUCUUCGAAAACCAGAACCAUAUAUCCCUAUCCUAUCAGACUUUUCAUCUUGACCAUAAUGUUUACCUUAACUUGUUUUCAUGAUAAACACACGAGUAGAGCCCGCGUUGUUCUAACUUUGUAAAUUUUUGAUGCAUGCUAGGACUCGCGUGACCAAAGGAUUUUGGUUUGCUUAAACUUGAAAAACUUAUCGGUUUUCUUAGAAUUAGAAUUUUUCUGAGCCAUAUUUAUUUAUUUCAUUCAAAAUCACUCUCACUUUUGGCCAAAAUUAGAAUCUAAACCCAUUACCCC